RNAcentral lists this ribosomal RNA (856 nucleotides) under uncultured bacterium. RNAcentral describes it as "bacterial SSU rRNA". It matches the Rfam family "Bacterial small subunit ribosomal RNA", at positions 542 to 1397 of the family's 1533-position model. The record is from RNAcentral.
AUCCGGGAAUCAUUGGGUUUAAAGGGUCCGUAGGCGGGCGUCUAAGUCAGUGGUGAAAUCCCGCAGCUCAACUGUGGAAUUGCCAUUGAUACUGGUCGCCUUGAAUCAAUGUGAAGUGGCUAGAAUAUGUGGUGUAGCGGUGAAAUGCUUAGAUAUUACAUAGAAUACCGAUUGCGAAGGCAGGUCACUAACAUUGCAUUGACGCUGAUGGACGAAAGCGUGGGGAGCGAACAGGAUUAGAUACCCUGGUAGUCCACGCCGUAAACGAUGGAUACUAGCUGUCCGAGCCACAUUGGUGGUUUGGGUGGCCAAGCGAAAGUGAUAAGUAUCCCACCUGGGGAGUACGUUCGCAAGAAUGAAACUCAAAGGAAUUGACGGGGGCCCGCACAAGCGGUGGAGCAUGUGGUUUAAUUCGAUGACACGCGAGGAACCUUACCAGGGCUUAAAUGUAGUCUGACAGGUCUGGAAACAGAUCCUUCUUCGGACAGAUUACAAGGUGCUGCAUGGUUGUCGUCAGCUCGUGCCGUGAGGUGUCUGGUUAAGUCCUAUAACGAGCGCAACCCCUGUUGUUAGUUGCCAGCGAGUCAUGUCGGGAACUCUAACAAGACUGCCGGUGCAAACCGUGAGGAAGGUGGGGAUGACGUCAAAUCAUCACGGCCCUUACGCCCUGGGCCACACACGUGCUACAAUGGCAGGUACAAUGGGCAGCCACGCCGCAAGGCGGAGCGAAUCCACAAAACCUGUCUCAGUUCGGAUCGGGGUCUGCAACUCGACCCCGUGAAGCUGGAAUCGCUAGUAAUCGGAUAUCAGCCAUGAUCCGGUGAAUACGUUCCCGGGCCUUGUACACACCGCCCGU